GAUGAACGCUGGCGGCGUGCCUAAUACAUGCAAGUCGAGCGAACGGACGAGAAGCUUGCUUCUCUGAUGUUAGCGGCGGACGGGUGAGUAACACGUGGAUAACCUACCUAUAAGACUGGGAUCACUUCGGGAAACCGGAGCUAAUACCGGAUAAUAUUUUGAACCGCAUGGUUCAAUAGUGAAAGACGGUCUUGCUGUCACUUAUAGCUGGAUCCGCGCUGCAUUAGCUAGUUGGUAAGGUAACGGCUUACCAAGGCAACGAUGCGUAGCCGACCUGAGAGGGUGAUCGGCCACACUGGAAGUGAGACACGGUCCAGACUCCUACGGGAGGCAGCAGUAGGGAAUCGUCCGCAGUGGGCGAAAGCCUGGCGGAGCGACGCCGCGUGAGUGAUGAAGGUCUUCGGAUCGUAAAACUCUGUUAUUAGGGAAGAACAGAUGUGUAAGUAGCUGUGCACAUCUUGACGGUACCUAGUCAGAAAGCAACGGCUAACUACGUG
Molecule: ribosomal RNA, 497 nt
Filed under: uncultured bacterium
Lineage: Bacteria
Description: partial 16S ribosomal RNA
Rfam family: Bacterial small subunit ribosomal RNA
Source: RNAcentral